ACGGGUGCGUAACACGUGGAUAACCUUCCUUCAGGUGGGGAAUAACCCAGUGAAAAUUGGGCUAAUACCGCAUAACAUGACGAUGCCACAUGGUGUUGUCUUCAAAGCCGCAAGGCGCCAGAAGAGGGAUCCGCGGCCGAUUAGCUUGUUGGCGAGGUAAUGGCUCACCAAGGCUUUGAUCGGUAGCCGGACUGAGAGGUUGGCCGGCCACACUGGAACUGAGACACGGUCCAGACUCCUACGGGAGGCAGCAGUGGGGAAUCUUGCACAAUGGACGAAAGUCUGACGCAGCAACGCCGCGUGGGGGAUGAAGCUUUUCGGAGUGUAAACCCCUUUCGACCCGGAAGAAUGCCCGCAAGGGUUUGACGGUACGGGUAUAAGAAGCCCCGGCUAACUACGUGCCAGCAGCCGCGG
This 414-nucleotide ribosomal RNA is filed under the name uncultured bacterium. RNAcentral describes it as "bacterial SSU rRNA". It matches the Rfam family "Bacterial small subunit ribosomal RNA", at positions 102 to 520 of the family's 1533-position model. The record is from RNAcentral.